This 1547-nucleotide ribosomal RNA is filed under the name Salmonella enterica subsp. enterica serovar Typhimurium. Its description in RNAcentral is "bacterial SSU rRNA". It matches the Rfam family "Bacterial small subunit ribosomal RNA". Lineage: Bacteria; Pseudomonadati; Pseudomonadota; Gammaproteobacteria; Enterobacterales; Enterobacteriaceae. The record is from RNAcentral.
GAAGAGUUUGAUCAUGGCUCAGAUUGAACGCUGGCGGCAGGCCUAACACAUGCAAGUCGAACGGUAACAGGAAGCAGCUUGCUGCUUCGCUGACGAGUGGCGGACGGGUGAGUAAUGUCUGGGAAACUGCCUGAUGGAGGGGGAUAACUACUGGAAACGGUGGCUAAUACCGCAUAACGUCGCAAGACCAAAGAGGGGGACCUUCGGGCCUCUUGCCAUCAGAUGUGCCCAGAUGGGAUUAGCUAGUUGGUGAGGUAACGGCUCACCAAGGCGACGAUCCCUAGCUGGUCUGAGAGGAUGACCAGCCACACUGGAACUGAGACACGGUCCAGACUCCUACGGGAGGCAGCAGUGGGGAAUAUUGCACAAUGGGCGCAAGCCUGAUGCAGCCAUGCCGCGUGUAUGAAGAAGGCCUUCGGGUUGUAAAGUACUUUCAGCGGGGAGGAAGGUGUUGUGGUUAAUAACCGCAGCAAUUGACGUUACCCGCAGAAGAAGCACCGGCUAACUCCGUGCCAGCAGCCGCGGUAAUACGGAGGGUGCAAGCGUUAAUCGGAAUUACUGGGCGUAAAGCGCACGCAGGCGGUCUGUCAAGUCGGAUGUGAAAUCCCCGGGCUCAACCUGGGAACUGCAUUCGAAACUGGCAGGCUUGAGUCUUGUAGAGGGGGGUAGAAUUCCAGGUGUAGCGGUGAAAUGCGUAGAGAUCUGGAGGAAUACCGGUGGCGAAGGCGGCCCCCUGGACAAAGACUGACGCUCAGGUGCGAAAGCGUGGGGAGCAAACAGGAUUAGAUACCCUGGUAGUCCACGCCGUAAACGAUGUCUACUUGGAGGUUGUGCCCUUGAGGCGUGGCUUCCGGAGCUAACGCGUUAAGUAGACCGCCUGGGGAGUACGGCCGCAAGGUUAAAACUCAAAUGAAUUGACGGGGGCCCGCACAAGCGGUGGAGCAUGUGGUUUAAUUCGAUGCAACGCGAAGAACCUUACCUGGUCUUGACAUCCACAGAACUUUCCAGAGAUGGAUUGGUGCCUUCGGGAACUGUGAGACAGGUGCUGCAUGGCUGUCGUCAGCUCGUGUUGUGAAAUGUUGGGUUAAGUCCCGCAACGAGCGCAACCCUUAUCCUUUGUUGCCAGCGAUUAGGUCGGGAACUCAAAGGAGACUGCCAGUGAUAAACUGGAGGAAGGUGGGGAUGACGUCAAGUCAUCAUGGCCCUUACGACCAGGGCUACACACGUGCUACAAUGGCGCAUACAAAGAGAAGCGACCUCGCGAGAGCAAGCGGACCUCAUAAAGUGCGUCGUAGUCCGGAUUGGAGUCUGCAACUCGACUCCAUGAAGUCGGAAUCGCUAGUAAUCGUGGAUCAGAAUGCCACGGUGAAUACGUUCCCGGGCCUUGUACACACCGCCCGUCACACCAUGGGAGUGGGUUGCAAAAGAAGUAGGUAGCUUAACCUUCGGGAGGGCGCUUACCACUUUGUGAUUCAUGACUGGGGUGAAGUCGUAACAAGGUAACCGUAGGGGAACCUGCGGUUGGAUCACCUCCUUACCUUAAAGAA